Non-coding RNA from Datura stramonium (jimsonweed), 68 nucleotides. NCBI's taxonomy places the organism in Eukaryota, Viridiplantae, Streptophyta, Magnoliopsida, Solanales, Solanaceae. The record is from the annotation of a GenBank genome assembly.
GGCGACAUGGCCGAGUGGUAAGGCAGAGGACUGCAAACCUUUUUCCCAAGCUCAAACUGGUGUCGCCU